UCUCGGAAAGCCUGCGCAUGCACUUUACGUGGAUUUGCAACAUCCGGUUACUGUUGCAUCAGCCUCCGCUUUGGGCGGAAGUGACUCAUCUUUGGGCGGAAGCGACCACCACCCCAGGUCCCCCUGCUGGUGUAAGCCUGGUACUGACAACUAGGCUAAAAGAAAAAUCUACUCGGCUUGCUACAAAGAAUCCAGGUAACACCCCUCAUUUUCGUACACGUUCCAGAUUUAUGUGAUCUGGGUUCAGGAAACUGACAAACUUCUGACUCAGUGCUCAGUACAUCCGAACACCAUUGCUCCUGCCAUCUUCAGAAAAAAAAACAAAUCACGGAUAAGCCUGUGAAACCAUGCUGAUCUUCCCUUACAGAUCAUUGCUGGAGAUUUGUGGAUCUUUAUUCAUAUUUU
Molecule: long non-coding RNA, 405 nt
Organism: Talpa occidentalis (Iberian mole)
Lineage: Eukaryota; Metazoa; Chordata; Mammalia; Eulipotyphla; Talpidae
Exons: 3
Source: RefSeq, a predicted model, not a curated record